ACAGUUGGAAACGACUGCUAAGACUGGAUAGGAAGUUUUAAGGCAUCUUGAAACUUUUAAAAGACCCGCAAGGGUAUGCUAAGAGAUGGGCUUGCGGCACAUUAGUUAGUUGGUAAGGUAACGGCUUACCAAGACUAUGAUGUGUAGCUGGACUGAGAGGUUGAACGGCCACAUUGGGAUUGAGAUACGGCCCAAACUCCUACGGGAGGCAGCAGUAAGGAAUUUUCGGCAAUGGAGGAAACUCUGACCGAGCAACGCCGCGUGAACGAUGAAAUAUUUAGGUAUGUAAAGUUCUUUUAUUAAAGAAGAAAAAAUGAUGGAAAAAUCAUUCUGACGGUAUUUAAUGAAUAAGCCCCGGCUAACUAUGUGCCAGCAGCUGCGGUAAUACAUGGGGGGCAAGCGUUAUCCGGAUUUAUUGGGCGUAAAGGGUGUGUAGGCGGUUUAAUAAGUCUAUGGUAUAAGUUCAACGCUUAACGUUGUGAUGCUAUGGAAACUGUUUGACUAGAGUUGGAUAGAGGCAAGUGGAAUUCCAUGUGUAGCGGUAAAAUGCGUAAAUAUAUGGAGGAACACCAGUAGCGAAGGCGGCUUGCUGGGUCUUAACUGACGCUGAGGCACGAAAGCGUGGGGAGCAAACAGGAUUAGAUACCCUGGUAGUCCACGCCGUAAACGAUGAGUACUAAGUGUUGGGUUAAACCAGUGCUGAAGUUAACACAUUAAGUACUCCGCCUGAGUAGUACGUACGCAAGUAUGAAACUUAAAGGAAUUGACGGGACUCCGCACAAGCGGUGGAUCAUGUUGUUUAAUUCGAAGAUACACGAAAAACCUUACCAGGUCUUGACAUACUCUGCAAAGCUAUAGAAAUAUAGUGGAGGUUAUCAGGGAUACAGGUGGUGCAUGGUUGUCGUCAGCUCGUGUCGUGAG
RNAcentral lists this ribosomal RNA (921 nucleotides) under Candidatus Phytoplasma mali. RNAcentral describes it as "bacterial SSU rRNA". It matches the Rfam family "Bacterial small subunit ribosomal RNA", at positions 146 to 1071 of the family's 1533-position model. The record is from RNAcentral. Lineage: Bacteria; Bacillati; Mycoplasmatota; Mollicutes; Acholeplasmatales; Acholeplasmataceae.